UACGGAGGAUGCGAGCGUUAUCCGGAUUUAUUGGGUUUAAAGGGUGCGUAGGCGGAUUGAUAAGUCAGGGGUGAAAACCUGCAGCUUAACUGUAGACUUGCCUUUGAUACUGUCAGUCUUGAGUGUGGUCAAGGUAGGCGGAAUGUGUAAUGUAGCGGUGAAAUGCUUAGAUAUUACACAGAACACCGAUUGCGAAGGCAGCUUGCUGGACCAUUACUGACGCUGAUGCACGAAAGCGUGGGGAUCGAACAGG
This 253-nucleotide ribosomal RNA is filed under the name uncultured bacterium. Its description in RNAcentral is "partial 16S ribosomal RNA". It matches the Rfam family "Bacterial small subunit ribosomal RNA", at positions 524 to 776 of the family's 1533-position model. The record is from RNAcentral.